CCCGGUUGAUGAGGAAGUCAACCAGCUGUUUUAACUUUCGUCCGGUUGGCCGGUAGGUAGCAAAGCUGAAUUGUCUUCAAACAAUACCACUCGGAGUGUUUAGUCAUGGCCGACAUCAGUGGAAACAACAGCCCCCGAGCUGAAGACAACGAUGACACCAAUUACCGAGAUGUCUCUGAGCCUGCGCCCGGGACGAACCCAUCGGCGUUUCCUGCUCGUCACGAGGGGAAUAAAAAAAUUAUCCUACAUGUGGACCUCAAUAACACCAUUCUGGUGUCAGACGCAGUAACGUGCCAAGGGACAGUGGCUGCCCUGGAUUAUUUUAUGACGACUGUCACUUGGGGCAAAAUGAGCAAAGGCAAGUGGGAAUGGUUGAGUAACUCUCCUUCCCUGCUUCCACCAUGUGACGAUGCCAUCAACUACUACUCUCAGUUUGGAACUACUCCUGGGUUCACCUCUGCUGCAGGUAGAUGCUUUCGUGGGAUUCUGGAGGAACAUCUUAACUUGCUGCGCUGGCCUGAGGGUGUAAAGGGAGACCGAGAGCUGACAAUAAAGGCGGAGGAUGGACGACUCUACCACUGGAUCCUUCCUUCCUUUUUCCAGCUGCUCAAAGACCUGACGCAGCAAGGGACCGAGUUUGCCGUCCACUUUCGUACGUUUGGAAGUGACCUACCUCGUGUGCUAAAUGCUGUAUCCAAAGCACUGACCCAGGGCGCCCAUCCCCUGUUUCCUGAUCUCCCUGAUCUGAAGUUAAGUGUGAACAAGACACCAGGCAAGAUCCGCUGCAGCCCGAAAGGGGUUCUUCUGACCAGAGGCGCAGAGCGACUGUCGACCCGUGACGGAGAGAGAGGGCUGUACCAAUUCUUUAGCAGCGCAAAUGGACUCGGAGGCUUCCAGGAUGACUAUGAAUGGUGGAUGACUAAAACGUUCUCCAUCCAGGGCGGGAAGCCGUUGUGGGUGGAUCCCUUUGACAAGCACGUUCAACACAUCUUCAUAGAUGACAACAUACGACGGAAUGAUGAGGAUACUGUAGUGCAUCCCAAGGUAGCACACAACUAUGACCUUUGGCACAGCUCUUUUUUUCCACUUAUUUUUCACACACAUUUUCAAUCUCAUUUGUAAUAUUUCAUAUAGGAUAUAAUGAACAGAGGGCAGUAUUCUCACUCUCUGCCACACUAAUUUUUAACUCAUUCCCUGCCACUGCUGUCCAAAGAUGUCAUUUGGAAUCGAGCUAUUCCCUGCCAAUGCCAUCUAAAGACGUCAAUGGCUUUUUUUUUUUUUUAACGGGGAUGAGUGGGGGAGGGUCUUGUGCAGUUUAUGUGUGAUUGUCAAGCCUCUGGAUAACUGCAAUGAGAAUGGCACCCUGUAGAGGGCAACAAUGCCUUGAGGUGAACAAGAGGAAGAAGAAGAAGGCGGGGUGCAAGAGACAAUGAGAAGAGGCAAGUAUAAUGGCGGAAAAGAGAGAAGACAAAAUGAAAAAAUUGAGGAAAAAAAAAGCUUUCGGUAAUAGAAAUUUACUGCGCCAUGGCAAGAAAAAUAUUCCUGCGACCGACAGGAAUGACUCUUUAGUCAGGAGUGUCAAACUCAUUUUUGUCUCGGGCCGCAUUGUAGUUAUGAUUUCCCUCAGCCAUUAGAACAGUGAAAUCAUAUAAAUGUUUAAUCACCAAAUCAUAUUAUUACCAUUACACAAAAAAUUUAGGGCUAACUAGUUUUGAACUCAGAAGACAAGGAUAAUAGAUUGUUCAAGUAUUGUUUAAGUUACUGUAGAAGAAGGGUUUGGUUACAGAAAAAUGCAAUAUCUCAACAUAACUGUUAUUAUGACAAUUUGGAAUUUGGGUACAGAUUUUAGCAAAAAUCACGGAAGUUGACGAGCAUGAUUUGCUUUCGCGGGCCACAUAGAAUAAUGUGGCAGGCCGCAUCUGGCCCCUAGGCCUUGAGUUUGACACCUAUGCCUUAGCUCAUGCAAGGGAAUAAAGGAUGACACUCCGAGCCGAUCGCUGUGUUGCAAAGGUAUCGCCCAAAAUGCUGGGCCAUAUGGCGAGGUGCUCUCGGCACCUUGCCAGCUGAUCGUCUGCCGACCAGGAUUUGAGUACCGUAUUUUCACGACCAUAAGGCGCACCGUUUUAAAAGGCGCAGUCUCAGUUACGGGGUCUAUUUCUGUAUUUAACACAUACAUAAGGCGCACCGUAUUAUUGGGCGCAGGCAUGGUAAAACAUACGGUAGCAUGCAUGCACUCUAAAACAUAUGCUAGCAUGCAUGCUAGCGUAUGUUUUUAAAAAAAGGCAGCGGCAGCAAAACUGAGUUUGGUUGUACUUUAUUGAAGUAUUUAACAUUAUUUUUUUGAUCAAUCCUCAUCCACAAAUCCAUCAAAGUCCUCAUCUUCUGUAUCCGAAAUUAACAGCUUGGCAAGUUCUCCAUCAAACAUGCCGGUUUCCCUCUCGUCAUUGUCGGAGUCAGUCUCGCUGCCAGGGAGGGGGCUGUUCAGUAAUGAUGCUUCUGUGGCUGCUCUUUGAUCACUAAUCUAUUGCUCGAGUUGGUCUUCUCGGGCCACCUCGCCUUGUUUCCGCGGAAACUCAGCUUCGUCUUCUCCUCGUUUUCCUGCUUCCUCCACUUGCGAACCAUGGAUUCGUUGAUCUUGAAUUCUCUCACGGCUGCUCGAUUCCCAUGUUCCUCCGCGUAACUGAUAGCUUGCAGUUUAAACUGUGCUUCGUAAGCGUGUCUCUUUGUAGGUGCCAUUUUCGGGGGUCCUUGGCCAAACCGAUGUUGUUUUGCACAAUGCACAUACCAGCACUAUAUAUCUGCUGGGGGCGUGCCUUUAGCGUCUUCUGUCUCAGUCUGUCCUCAGUCACGUCAGCCUUUCCUCUCUAUAUAAGCAGCGUGUCAGCAGGAAAUGCUCCCAGUCAGUCAAACGGCGCGCUCAUCAAAGCAACAAACAACAUUUACAGAUUUUGGAACUCGGCGCACACAUAAGGCGCGCCGCAUUAUAAGGCGCCCGUCCAUUUUGGAGAAAAUUUAAGACUUUUAAGUGCGCCUUAUGGUCGUGAAAAUACGGUAAAUGGGAUCUGGAAUCGUCACACGAGUGAACUCCCUCUGGAUCGCCUGGAAGCAGCAGAGCUUCAUCCGGAGCUUCUUCCGGCUGAUAAAUGGAGACAAAGGUAACUCAUUUGCAACUCUCGUUAGCUAUAUUUAUCGAGCAAACAUGCUCCUCAAUCCUUGCUACAUAAAAAUAAUUUAGUCCCACUAGUUUACAUGACAAUGUAACAUCUGUUACCAGUACUGAUUUGAAUUUUCCAUUUCCAGCUCGUCCAUCUUGCAGUAAUGGAACACCUGCAAGACGUCAUUUAGGAUUGCAAAAAAGAAAAGUUAUGCAUCCAGGAGAUGUUCGACUCCCAUUCCAGUACACAGUGCAAACAAAAAGUUGUGCUUCGAGCAGAAGUAGGGACUGGUUUCAAGGACAAUGACAACCACACAAGAUCCCGUUCACCGCCACCUAAGAAUAAAAUCCAGAUGUGGAUAAAACGUUGCUAGAUUUUAUGCGCAAGGUAAUAAAAACCUGGAGCAAAAGGCAGAGGAGGAGAAUUACGAGCAAGAAAGUGCAAGUGUGGAGCCCCAUUUGUUCAUGGAUAUUCUGUACAUAGUUUUACAUGUAAAUACAAUUUUCUGUCAAAAGUACUUUCUCAGUGUUUUAUGUUCAGAUGUUUGAGAUUUUCACUAAAUAAAAAAAAUAUUGGUG
Phycodurus eques (leafy seadragon) is the source of this 3733-nucleotide RNA transcript. RefSeq lists it as uncharacterized. The record is from RefSeq and is a predicted model, not a curated record. Lineage: Eukaryota; Metazoa; Chordata; Actinopteri; Syngnathiformes; Syngnathidae. The transcript has 7 exons.